GAUUUCGAUUUGUUGGAUGCCCUUGGUGAUGACGACAAGAAGCCCACGACACCCCCCAAGAGACCCAGCUCUGACAAUGAUGGGUUCAGUCUGGAAGAUGCCAUCGGCGGCGGAGGAGAGAACGACCCAGUGCCACCCAAACCACCCAAACCGAAGCCUCAUCCCAACCCCAACCAGCCUGGAUCUUCUGGUGGUUUUUCAGAUUCCGAUCUCAUCGCUGGAGCUUCAGAUGGAGGAGGUGGUGGCGGUGGUGAUGGAGGAAGCCAAAAGCCUGAUGGGGGGGAGCAGGCUGACUCCCCUGGGGUAGUCCCUGGCAUCAUUGGGGCAGUUGUGGUGGCCGUGGCCGGAGCGAUCUCUAGCUUUAUCGCGUACCAGAAGAAAAAGUUGUGCUUCAAAGAAAACGCCGACCAAGGUGAGCCCAGCACCAAGAACCAGCAGACCACCAGCGCCGACCAGCCAGUUCAGUGGAGUCUUCUGGAAAAGUAGAAGCUUGACUGCAAACGCAAAUCCUCGACGUUCCCAGCAGGAGAACAAGACUCCCCUGCUGCAUCUUCCCAAGAAACAUGUGCACCAGGGUAGCGGUGGCCACGGCGGAAUCCAGCCCUGUCCUGCCCACGCCUGUGCUCACGUUGAGACUCUUUGCUUUGACCUUGAGAUGCGUUGUGCCCAUUUGCACCAUGCUGGGUAGACGAGGGAUACUAACGCCGAGUGUUGCACCCCGAGAGGGGAGUUUUGCUCACCCUGUCCGUGGCCGUUAAGGGUUUCCCCGUGGGGUGUGAAAGGCCGAUUGUCCAUCACAAAGUCAUUCCAGUACCGACCCCGCUGAAGCUCCCCCACCCGGAACUCUGGGCCAUUUACCAAUUAAUGUGUGAGUUAAACAGAACUGUCCCUGGCAUUGACCCUCGGAUAUGGUGAGAUAAGCGUUUCAUUAGUGUCCUCAAAAUGUCCUUCAUUGGGUAGGAUUUUUUUUUCACACCAGACUAAUAAAAAAGAAAUUAGAAACCAA
Neomonachus schauinslandi (Hawaiian monk seal) is the source of this 1006-nucleotide long non-coding RNA. RefSeq lists it as uncharacterized. The transcript has 9 exons. Lineage: Eukaryota; Metazoa; Chordata; Mammalia; Carnivora; Phocidae. The record is from RefSeq and is a predicted model, not a curated record.